RNAcentral lists this long non-coding RNA (2417 nucleotides) under Lupinus angustifolius (narrow-leaved blue lupine). Its description in RNAcentral is "long non-coding RNA (LANG_LNC000974)". The record is from RNAcentral. Lineage: Eukaryota; Viridiplantae; Streptophyta; Magnoliopsida; Fabales; Fabaceae.
AAAUUAUUUAUCAAUCUUUCUUGAUUAUACUAUAUGUGUUUCUUCAUCCUUUGCAAAGAUCAAAGAAGCAGCAACAUGGUCAACAAAACAAAAGAACUUAAAACAUAACAUUGGUAAAACUACAAUUCAUCUGUAAAGAGAAAAAGGAAAACCCAUCACUGUGCAUAUUGGGAAAUAUCAUGUGUAAGAUGAAUAGAAGUUCCACUGAAAACAUAACAGAGGUAAAAUUACAAUUCAUCUUUCCACUCACCAUCAAAUCCUUGUUUCACUUGUUCCUGUAACAUAACCACAUAAACUUUUCAAUUAUUCAUCAAUUCUAUAGCAGAUUUGAAAAUCAGGAAAUGCAAGUAACAGAACUAUUCAAAUUAAAAGAAGACAAACCUCCGUAGUUUUGAGUAAAGCCAGAAGUGCAGUGCACAACUGCAAUAACAGCCUUUCCAACCAUAUCUACCAUAUUUUCCCAUAAUUAUAGUAAAAUACAUCGCAUAUUUCUUACAUAUUUGUAAAUACAUUGCAUCUGCCAGCCAAUUAUAAGGGUCUCAAAUUAAUUUAAAUUUGUAGGCAAUUAAGGUCAAAUGAACAGAUACUAAUUUUUUCAUAGGCCCUAUACAUACAUAUAAUUGCUUGUAGAGAAGAUUGUCUUUAAGUUGAUUCUUCUUUUGCUUUUAUUUCUUUGUCAAACAUCACAUACUUUGUUACGAAAAAGCAACUCCUUUUGUAAGUCACUACCUCAAUCCGGCACUAACCAGGACUUCAUUCAUCCAUGAACAAGAUGGGAAGGAAAAUCAUUGGAGUGUCCAUGCUUGGAAAACAUAACAAUGAUAGCAUAUUCAAGGCAUAACAUAAAAGGAUUAUAUAACGAAUUUGUAGUAUAAUUUGCAUUUAGGGUCAUCAAGGCAAAUUAUAUAUAAUGAAUCUGUAGUAUAAUUUGCAUUUAGGGUCAUCGAGGCAAAUUAUACCAUCUCUUUGCAUAGUUAAUAAAGAGUCCAUAUUACAAUUGUAUUUUGGGAUAUCAUGUCCCCCAGCAUAGCAUCCCAAUUUAUAUUAUGAACAAAGAAUUCAUACUACAAUUUGCAUUGAAGACCACCAAUGACUCAAGUAUACAAUCCCAAUUUUGCACUAAAGAUUGAGAAUUUAAAUUGUAAUUGCAUUUCCGGUAAUUUUGCAAAUUAGGGUCGCAUCUGAAUUCAAAACCAUAGGCAACUAGUGUCAAACAUAUCAUCCAGUAUCAUAUUAUGAAUUAAGCAUUCACCUUGCCAGCAACGUUCAAUCUCGCAGUCCAAAACAACCACCAGGGUUUCUAUAGCCACUUAAAUUUAGUUUCAUCAAGAUCCUUGAGUGAAAUCAUAAAAGCAUACCAUCUAUUUUUAAUAUUAUGAAUAAAGAAUUCAUACGACCAAGUAUAUAAUUUCGAUCCAACCAUCCAUCCAUUAUGAAUAAAGAAUUCAUGUUGCAGUUGCAUUUAGGACCAUCAACCAAUUAGGAUUUAACUCAUCCAUACUCCAGAUUGUAGGCAACAUGAGACAAACAUACUAAUCUCUUUUAUUAUGUGUACCAAUUAUAAAGGGUCAGAAUGGGCACUCAAAAAAUAAAUCAUUAUUUAUCAAUCUUUCUUGAUUAUGUUAUUUGUAUGUUUCUUCAUCCGUUGCAAAAAAAUCAACAGAAGCAACAUGGUAAAAAACAAGAACUCAAAUAUUAAAAAUGUAGAGAAAAGAAAGAAAGGUGUGGCACUGAUAAAGGAUUGGAAAGCCAUAGAAUAAAUCAAAUUUCAUGUCUUUCUCACAUUUCAUUAUCAGAUACUAACAAGUUCAAGAAAAUUAAGGAAAAGAAAGAAAUGAAAUUUCAUCACUUUCUCACCUUUCUUUAUCAGCUGAAGUUCAAGAAAACCACAACGUUAUUAGAUUCUAAGAAAUCACCUCAAGAUUUAUAGGAAUUCAUGCAAAAGAUUGAAAAUUAAGAAAGAGAAAAGAGAUAGAUGUGGCAGUGAUAAAAGGGUUGGAAACACCACCUCUCAUUCUCUACUUCGUGUUUCAUUAUUAGCUUAAGCAGCUUAAGUAAUUUCAAGAAAAUUAAUGUGACUAUCACAGAGUAAGAAAUUGCGUCAAGAUUUGAAGAUAGAAAACUGAGAGAAAAGAGAGACAUGUUUCUUGCAGGAGACUGAGAAUUGAGAACUGAGAUAGUAUAUAACACCACCUCUCUCGUUCGCUCUAUCUGUCUCUCUGUCCCUCGCAAGUUCUGUCCCUUCUCUCGCAAGUUCUCUCUCCGUAGUCAUGUUUGUAGAACAACUUAUGUAACAAUGUCGAAUAAAGAUGUCUUUAUAUAACAAUAGAACACCGACCUAUGCACUGUUGUAAAUCAAAUAUGCUUAAUGGGCCUUGUUCUUAAAAAAAAUAAAAUCCUAAUAAUACGUAUUUUAU